GACGAACGCUGGCGGCGUGCCUAAUCCAUGCAAGUCGAACGCUGAAGGAGGAGCUUGCUUCUCUGGUUGAGUUGCGACCGGGUGAGUAACGCGUAGGUACCCUGCCUGUUAGCGGGGGAUAACUUUUGGAAACGAAGGCUAAUACCGCAUAAGAGUAGAUGUUGCAUGACAUUUGCUUAAAAGGUGCAAUUGUAUCACUCCUAGCUGGACCUGCGUUGUAUUAGCUAGUUGGUGGGGUAACGGCUCACCAAGGCGACGAUACAUAGCCGACCUGAGAGGGUGAUCGGCCACACUGGGACUGAGACACGGCCCAGACUCCUACGGGAGGCAGCAGUAGGGAAUCUUCGGCAAUGGACGGAAGUCUGACCGAGCAACGCCGCGUGAGUGAAGAAGGGUGUCGGAUCGUAAAGCUCUGUUGUAAGAGAAGAACGAGUGUGAGAGUGGAAAGUUCACACUGUGACGGUAGCUGACCAGAAAGGGACGGCUAACUACGUG
RNAcentral lists this ribosomal RNA (495 nucleotides) under uncultured bacterium. RNAcentral describes it as "partial 16S ribosomal RNA". It matches the Rfam family "Bacterial small subunit ribosomal RNA", at positions 28 to 507 of the family's 1533-position model. The record is from RNAcentral.